Molecule: ribosomal RNA, 253 nt
Filed under: uncultured bacterium
Lineage: Bacteria
Description: partial 16S ribosomal RNA
Rfam family: Bacterial small subunit ribosomal RNA
Source: RNAcentral
UACGAAGGGGGCAAGCGUUGUUCGGAAUUACUGGGCGUAAAGCGCGUGUAGGCGGCUUUGCAAGUCGGGCGUGAAAUCCCAUGGCUCAACCAUGGAAGUGCACUCGAAACUGCAGAGCUAGAGUCCUGGAGAGGAAGGUGGAAUGCUUGGUGUAGAGGUGAAAUUCGUAGAUAUCAAGCGGAACACCGGUGGCGAAGGCGGCCUUCUGGACAGUGACUGACGCUGAGACGCGAAAGCGUGGGGAGCAAACAGG